GUAGGUGGCAAGCGUUGUCCGGAAUUAUUGGGCGUAAAGCGCGCGCAGGCGGUUCUUUAAGUCUGAUGUGAAAGCCCACGGCUCAACCGUGGAGGGUCAUUGGAAACUGGAGAACUUGAGUACAGAAGAGGAAAGCGGAAUUCCACGUGUAGCGGUGAAAUGCGUAGAGAUGUGGAGGAACACCAGUGGCGAAGGCGGCUUUCUGGUCUGUAACUGACGCUGAGGCGCGAAAGCGUGGGGAGCAAACAGGAUUAGAUACCCUGGUAGUCCACGCCGUAAACGAUGAGUGCUAAGUGUUAGGGGGUUUUCCGCCCCCCUUAGUGCUGCAGCUAACGCAUUAAGCACGCCGCCUGGGAGUACGGCCGCAAGGCUG
RNAcentral lists this ribosomal RNA (373 nucleotides) under uncultured organism. RNAcentral's name for it is "partial 16S ribosomal RNA". It matches the Rfam family "Bacterial small subunit ribosomal RNA", at positions 527 to 896 of the family's 1533-position model. The record is from RNAcentral.